UAACUGGAGAGUUUGAUCCUGGCUCAGAAUGAACGCUGGCGGCGUGCUUUACACAUGCAAGUCGAGCGAGGCGGGUAGCAAUACCCAGUCGAGCGGCGAACGGGUGAGUAACGCGUGGAUUAUCUGCCCUGAGGUGGGGGAUAACCCG
Molecule: ribosomal RNA, 148 nt
Filed under: Acidobacteriota bacterium
Lineage: Bacteria; Pseudomonadati; Acidobacteriota
Description: Acidobacteria bacterium (rhizosphere metagenome) partial 16S ribosomal RNA
Rfam family: Bacterial small subunit ribosomal RNA
Source: RNAcentral